CACGUAGGGCGCAAGCGUUGUCCGGAAUUAUUGGGCGUAAAGCGCACGUAGGCGGCUUUGCAAGUCGGAUGUGAAAUCCCUCGGCUUAACCAAGGAAGUGCAUCCGAAACUGCAGAGCUUGAGUACUUAAGAGGAUCGCGGAAUUCCCGGUGUAGAGGUGAAAUUCGUAGAUAUCGGGAGGAACACCAGUGGCGAAGGCGGCGAUCUGGGAAGAUACUGACGCUGAGGUGCGAAAGCGUGGGGAGCAAACAGG
Molecule: ribosomal RNA, 253 nt
Filed under: uncultured bacterium
Lineage: Bacteria
Description: partial 16S ribosomal RNA
Rfam family: Bacterial small subunit ribosomal RNA
Source: RNAcentral